GCUUCCGUAGCUCAGUUGGAAGAGCGCAGGUCUCAUAUUCUAUCGUGAAGGUUGCAUCAGCCUCAAAUCCUGAGGUCGACGGUUCGAGCCCGCCCGGGAGCA
This is a non-coding RNA of Fomitopsis betulina (razor strop fungus), 102 nucleotides long. The record is from the annotation of a GenBank genome assembly. Lineage: Eukaryota; Fungi; Basidiomycota; Agaricomycetes; Polyporales; Fomitopsidaceae.